CCUACGGGUGGCAGCAGUGGGGAAUAUUGCACAAUGGGGGAAACCCUGAUCCAGCGACGUCGCGUGAGUGAUGAAGUAUUUCGGUAUGUAAAGCUCUAUUAGCAGGGAAGAAACAAGACGGUACCGGACGAAGAAGCACAGGCUAACUACGUGCAGGCAGGCGAGGUACUCCGUAGGGGGCACGCGUUAUCCGGAGUUACCGGGGGUAAACGGAGGUUAUACGGUGCGGCAAGUCUGAAGUGAAAGGCAGGGGCUUAACGCGUGAGCUGCUUUGGAAACUGCCAUGCUAGAGUGCUGGUGAGGUAAGUGGAAUUCCUAGUGUAGCGGUGAAAUGCGUAGAUAUGAGGAGGAACACCAGUGGCGAAGGCGGCUUACUGGACAGUAACUGACGUUGAGGCUCGAAAGCGUGGGGAGCAAACAGGAUUAGAUACCCGUGUAGUC
RNAcentral lists this ribosomal RNA (441 nucleotides) under uncultured bacterium. RNAcentral describes it as "partial 16S ribosomal RNA". It matches the Rfam family "Bacterial small subunit ribosomal RNA", at positions 338 to 795 of the family's 1533-position model. The record is from RNAcentral.